Molecule: ribosomal RNA, 1436 nt
Filed under: metagenome
Description: bacterial SSU rRNA
Rfam family: Bacterial small subunit ribosomal RNA
Source: RNAcentral
AGAGUUUGAUCCUGGCUCAGGUUGAACGCUGGCGGUGCGCCUAAUACAUGCAAGUCGAGCGAGAAAUUGAAUUUAUUCAAUGGAAAGCGGCGAACGAGCGAGUAACACGUAAGUAUCUGCCCCGUACUCAGGGAUAACUGCCCGAAAGGGUAGCUAAUACCGGAUGGUCUCGAAAGAGUAAAGAUUUAUCGGUACGGGAGGAACUUGCGGCUUAUCAGCUAGUUGGUAGGGUAAAAGCCUACCAAGGCUAUGACGAGUAACUGGUGUGAGAGCAUGACCAGUCGCGAUGGGACUGAGAUACGGCCCAUACUCCUACGGGAGGCAGCAGUAGGGAAUAUUCCGCAAUGGACGAAAGUCUGACGGAGCGACACCGCGUGGAGGAUGACGGCCUAAGGGUUGUAAACUCCUUUUCUGUAGGAAGAAGAUCUGACGGUACUACAGGAAUAAGCCCCGGCUAAUUACGUGCCAGCAGCCGCGGUAAUACGUAAGGGGCAAGCGUUAACCGGAAUCAUUGGGCGUAAAGCGUCCGCAGGCGGAGAUGUAAGUCAGUUAUUAAAUACCGGAGCUCAACUUCGGUGCCGUAAUUGAAACUACAUUUCUAGAGGAUAGGAGAGGUGUGUGGAAUUGUGCAAGUAGGGGUAAAAUCCGUAGAUAUGCACAGGAAUACCAAAAGCGAAGGCAACACACUGGACUAUUCCUGACGCUCAGGGACGAAAGCGUAGGUAGCAAAACGGAUUAGAUACCCGUGUAGUCUACGCCGUAAACGAUGCGUGCUCGGUGUUGGAACCCUCGACCUGGUUUCAGUGCCUAAGGUAACCCGUUAAGCACGCCGCCUGUGUACUACGAUCGCAAGAUUAAAACACAAAGGAAUAGACGGGGACCCACACAAGCGGUGGAUCGCGGGGUUUAAUUCGUUAAUCAGCGAGUAACCUUACCCAGACUUGACAUCCUAGUCGCACCUUUCAGAGAUGAUUGGGUCAAUUCGGUUGGACUAGUGACAGGCGCUGCAUGGUUGUCGUCAGCUCGUGCCUUGAGGUGUUCGGUUAAGUCCGUUAACGAGCGCAACCCUCGUCGUAUGUUGUAUUUUCAUGCGAGACUGCCCGGCGUAACCGGGAGGAAGGUGGGGACGACGUCAAAUCAGCAUGGCCCUUAUGUCUGGGGCUACACCCACGAUACAAUGGCCGGUACAGACCGAAGCAAAGCAGCAAUGUGGAGCCAAUCGGACAAAACCGGUCUCAGUUCGGAUCGAAGUCUGCAACUCGACUUCGUGAAGCCGGAAUCGCUAGUAACCGUAUAUCAGUCAUGGUACGGUGAAUAUGUUCCUGGGUCUUGUACUCACCGCCCGUCAAGGCAUGGGAGCUGGGGGAGCCCGAAGUCUGCCAAAUAAUGGUGGCCUAAGGCUAAACCAGUAACUGGGCUUAAGUCGUAACAAGGUA